Molecule: RNA transcript, 2724 nt
Organism: Salvia splendens (bonfire salvia)
Lineage: Eukaryota; Viridiplantae; Streptophyta; Magnoliopsida; Lamiales; Lamiaceae
Gene name: protein GAMETOPHYTE DEFECTIVE 1
Exons: 8
Source: RefSeq, a predicted model, not a curated record
AUUGCUAAAUUCAUACCCUUUGCCCCGCCGCCACCCAAACAGAGUCCCCGCCGCGCCGCCGCCAUCACAAAUGGGGUUCUUCGACUUGAACAUACCCUACCGGGAAUCCGACCGCCAUGCCGUCGACAAACCCUCCCUGAGAGGCCGCCGCCUGAAGCUCGCUCUGAAAGCCAUGGAACUCGGCUACACCGGCGUCGCCUACAAUCGCAUCCUCACAGGCGUCAUGUCCGAAUCCGACCGCUGCUCCAUCGUUCUCUUCCCCAUCUCCACACUCACCCCCUCUUCCUCUUCCUUCUUCGCCUCCGUCAAGUUCCACCGCGACAUUCUACACGUCUCCGGUACAGCCCCCUUCCGCCAGUACACCCGCCUUACCGUCGUCGUCACUAAUUCCGCCCAGGCUUUGGCUCUUAAUUCCUGUAACCCCGUGCUGCGAAGCUAUGACAUCGUCGCCCUUAGGCCUACUAGACAAGAUGCAUUUGAUCAGGCUUGUCAAAAUUCGGAGGUUGAUAUGAUCUCUAUUGAUUUCUCGAAGAUGGACUCAUUCAGCUUCAGGCUAAAGCAGCCUAUUAUCAAAGCUGCAAUUAAGCGAGGGUUGUACUUUGAGAUCACAUACUCUGAUCUGAUUGGUGAUGCAGAAUCAAAACGAAAAAUGAUAUCCUAUUGCAAGCUUCUUGUUGAUUGGACUCGAGGGAAAAAUUUAAUUAUAUGUAGUGAUGCCUCUUCUGCCUCUGAACUUAGAGGGCCCCAAGAUGUAGCAAAUCUGUUCUUUUUGCUGGGACUCUCUAGAGAACGUGCUAAAGCAGCUAUCUCCUCAAACUGUAGAUCUCUCCUAGCUAAUGCAAUAAGGAAAAAACAUUUUUACAAAGAGGCUGUUAAAGUUGAAGAGAUACCAUCUGGUGGACAAUCCAAUACAUCAAAAUCUGUGUUUGAUGAUUGGCUCAAAUGGGAUCCUAUUUCUAGUGGCCAGGGCGAUGUGCUAUUGGAAGACAUGGAGAAGUCUUUUACUAUUUCGAAAACUGUAAAAGAAAAUGUGAAAACCAUCAACUUCACCUCAAAUUUGAAUGGCCUGCCUGCACAUGGUUUCCAGAUCAAAGAUCUGGUAUAUGCGAUUAAGACAUCUUUGGAGCCGUGUGAUGUGGAUAAACGUGCUCUUCCUGUCGUUGAGACUGAGGGGGGUGCUUCAGAUGAAAAGCUUGAAAAGCAUGUUGCUAACACUUUGCAUGAACAACACCACAGCCUGCUUAAAAAUGAAGACGGUCCUGGUAAUUUGAGUAAUGAACCUGAGGGGGUUAUUGAACUGCCUGAAGGUCAAACGUCACCAUCUGGUGCCACUAAUAUUUAUGCCAACUCUGACUGUCAAGAUUCAGAAGUUCAAUUGGGUUAUGUUCCGGAUGCAAAACUUGCGCUUCCACCUCUUCUAGGACGUGAUCAAGUUUCCGUUGAUGUUGCACAGGGAGAAUAUCAGAUUUCAGGUUUGGGAGAUUCGUCGCCGUUGUCUUUGCCCACUUUCAGUGUUAAUUCCGCAGAUUCUGAAGAAAUUAUGAAGACUUCAAAUGACUUGGAAAAAAAUACUGUUGCAUCUGAAACCCGAAUAAAAGAUCCCCCAUCCCCUGUCAAGCAAGGAAACUUUGUACAUAGUGGUGGACAAGUUCAUAUCACAAAGAGCAAUACGUUAGCUAUUGACAACCAUGUUACUGUAGAACUUUCCAAUCCCUUGAAUAAAUCUAGUUCCUCUAUCUUUCCAUUAGAUCCUGGUACGGACAAUCUAUUAGAAAUGGGUGCAUGUGCAAAUGAAGGUAACAGAAUGGAUGAAAUUCACAACAAAAAUGCCAUUGAAACUACGCAAGAGUAUCCCUUGGCAUCACCUCACAUCUCCUAUGAAGAUGGUUGUGGUGAAGGAGGACAGUGUAGUAAAAUUACUGAUAGUUCUAUUAAGUUUGGUCUUGGGUCGCCUCUAGAGGGGUCUUCAAAUAUGAUAACAAAUUUUGAUGAGCCAACAAAUGAUGACGUGAUGGUCGAGUUGAUGCCAAUAGAUUCAGUCCCUGAUUGUCAAGGCUUUGCUAAAUCUCGUGCAGGAAUAAAUAAAAGAAAAGGAAAGUCGCCUCAUCAACCUGUCUUGUUUCCAUUCAAGCGUUAUAUGAAAUCCAAGCCUUCCAAGAAGAAGCUCCGAAAGUAAAGACCAAGCUAUUUAUAUCGUUUAUGGCCCUUCAGACAACCAAAGGAUCAUUGAGUAUAUGCCCUGCUUCAUCAGGUUGGAAUAAACUGAAGAACUAUUCAUAUGAUGAUUUGAUUUUGAAGGAUCGGUCGGUAAAUUGAUCGCGCACGACUCUCCUCGGGUACUUUUACCAAUCUCAUUGCAGGUGUGUUUUCAAAGUAACUAUAAAUGUAUUUACUUAUGUGAGAUGGAUCAAGAUAUAAGUAGGUUUGAUUUAGGUAAGAAGAUUUAUAGAGGUAGUGGAAAGGCCACCGCCGGCCGACAAAGGCCGGCCUCCCCCACUUCUAGGGACCAUUGUGUUGGGUAUUAGACUUUAUUGAAAUAAAGUCCAGAUUCAGAUUCUGAGUCAAAUUGCUUCUCUUCCUCACCUGAGCUGAUUUUUGCAUUAUUGUAAUGCUGAAAUCAAUGAUUCAGUAACAUGAGAGAGACCAAAUGAUUAGUGUAAAGAGAUUGUGCAAUCACCUGCUUUUGCAAUAUUAAAUGUGUAUUAUGGCUCCUAAAGCCAAACA